Melitaea cinxia (Glanville fritillary) is the source of this 213-nucleotide long non-coding RNA. RefSeq lists it as uncharacterized. Lineage: Eukaryota; Metazoa; Arthropoda; Insecta; Lepidoptera; Nymphalidae. The record is from RefSeq and is a predicted model, not a curated record. The transcript has 4 exons.
GUUUUAAACUAACGCGAUAACUUUUACUGUUUCUUUAUUUAGUAAGAACCACCACCAGAAUAACAUGUUUAGAAAAAUUACUUGAGUUAUAUGCCAAGGUAUUAAAUAUACGUACAAUUCCUCUUAAAGGUAAUUUACAGUAUGCGCUUUAGAUAAUUAAAUCGUCUGCCUAUUCAAAAAAUUUUGGACAUUCAGGAUUUAAAUAAAAAAAUA